This 21-nucleotide non-coding RNA is filed under the name Caenorhabditis elegans. The record is from RNAcentral. Lineage: Eukaryota; Metazoa; Nematoda; Chromadorea; Rhabditida; Rhabditidae.
UUGGCAUUGUACAUAUGGAAU